UUUGUAGGCUGCAGCCAAAAUUAUGAUGAAAAAGAAAAAGAUGACAGCACAAGAUGUGUCAACAAUGUUGAGAUGUGAACAGAGGACCAUCAUCUUCCUUAUAGAACCUGAGAAUUUUUGUUUCUUAGUGGAUGCUUUCAUAGUACUUGUAUGUAUAAUUGGUAUGUAUAAUUAGUUUGAAUUUUGUGCCGAUUUGUUUUGUAAUAAUUUUUAACUUACCACUAGGCACUAGUUUAACUUUAUUUCAUCUUAGAAUUGAAA
Molecule: non-coding RNA, 261 nt
Organism: Camellia sinensis
Lineage: Eukaryota; Viridiplantae; Streptophyta; Magnoliopsida; Ericales; Theaceae
Source: RefSeq, a predicted model, not a curated record